This 499-nucleotide ribosomal RNA is filed under the name uncultured bacterium. RNAcentral's name for it is "partial 16S ribosomal RNA". It matches the Rfam family "Bacterial small subunit ribosomal RNA", at positions 28 to 507 of the family's 1533-position model. The record is from RNAcentral.
GACGAACGCUGGCGGCGUGCCUAAUACAUGCAAGUCGAGCGAAGUUUUUCUGGUGCUUGCACCGGAAAAACUUAGCGGCGCACGGGUGAGUCACACGUAAAGGACCUGCCUCAUAGACUGGGACAACUAUUGGAAACGAUAGCUAAUACCGGAUAAUAGCAUUAACUGCAUGGUUGAUGUUUAAAAGUUGGUUUUGCUAACACUAUGAGAUGGCCUUGCGGUGCAUUAGCUAGUUGGUGGGGUAAAGGCCUACCAAGGCGACGAUGCAUAGCCGACCUGAGAGGGUGAUCGGCCACACUGGGACUGAGACACGGCCCAGACUCCUACGGGAGGCAGCAGUAGGGAAUCUUCCGCAAUGGGCGAAAGCCUGACGGAGCAACGCCGCGUGAGUGAAGAAGGAUUUCGGUUCGUAAAGCUCUGUUGUUAGGGAAGAAUGAGUGUGUAGUAACUAUACACAGUAGAGACGGUACCUAACCAGAAAGCCACGGCUAACUACGUG